This 650-nucleotide ribosomal RNA is filed under the name uncultured bacterium. Its description in RNAcentral is "bacterial SSU rRNA". It matches the Rfam family "Bacterial small subunit ribosomal RNA", at positions 56 to 753 of the family's 1533-position model. The record is from RNAcentral.
UGCAGUCGCGCGGUCAGCAAUGGCAGCGGCGGACGGGUGAGUAACGCGUAGGAAUGUAUCCAGAGGUGGGGGACAACCCCGGGAAACUGGGGCUAAUACCGCAUAUGGGCUGAGGCCCAAAGCAGUAAUGCGCCUUUGGAGCAGCCUGCGUCCGAUUAGGUAGUUGGUGGGGUAAUGGCCUACCAAGCCUUCGAUCGGUAGCUGGUCUGAGAGGACGAUCAGCCACACUGGGACUGAGACACGGCCCAGACUCCUACGGGAGGCAGCAGUGGGGAAUAUUGGACAAUGGGCGAAAGCCUGAUCCAGCAAUGCCGCGUGUGUGAAGAAGGUCUUCGGAUCGUAAAGCACUUUCGACAGGGACGAUGAUGACGGUACCUGUAGAAGAAGCCCCGGCUAACUUCGUGCCAGCAGCCGCGGUAAUACGAAGGGGGCUAGCGUUACUCGGAAUUACUGGGCGUAAAGGGCGCGUAGGCGGCUUGGCCAGUCAGGCGUGAAAUUCCUGGGCUUAACCUGGGGACUGCGCUUGAUACUGUCAGGCUUGAGGCCGAGAGAGGGUGGUGGAAUUCCCAGUGUAGAGGUGAAAUUCGUAGAUAUUGGGAAGAACACCGGUGGCGAAGGCGACCACCUGGCUCGGUACUGACGCUGAGGCG